Molecule: unclassified non-coding RNA, 325 nt
Filed under: uncultured fungus
Lineage: Eukaryota; Fungi
Description: partial contains small subunit ribosomal RNA, internal transcribed spacer 1, and 5.8S ribosomal RNA
Rfam family: Eukaryotic small subunit ribosomal RNA (bases 1-73)
Source: RNAcentral
GCAAACUUGGUCAUUUAGAGGAAGUAAAAGUCGUAACAAGGUUUCCGUAGGUGAACCUGCGGAAGGAUCAUCACAGGAUCUUAUACAUCUACACACUGUGAACAGUAUGCUUCAGCAGAGCCGAGUUGGCGGGAAGGGGAUGGGGCGGCGCUUCCGGGUGGCCGUCCCUGACGCGUGUCUCCCGCGGCAGUCGCCGCGGUGAGCGCCCGCCGCUCGUCUGCGUUUACAAUAAACUCUUAUACACUCUACACUGAUACAUUUUACCAUAACCAAUACAACUUUCAACAAUGGAUCUCUUGGUUCUCGCAUCGAUGAAGAACGCAGC